CUUGAUCUUAGCCAAAAGGC
This 20-nucleotide small nuclear RNA is filed under the name Arabidopsis thaliana (thale cress). RNAcentral's name for it is "snRNA_07322". The record is from RNAcentral. Lineage: Eukaryota; Viridiplantae; Streptophyta; Magnoliopsida; Brassicales; Brassicaceae.